RNAcentral lists this ribosomal RNA (232 nucleotides) under uncultured bacterium. RNAcentral's name for it is "partial 16S ribosomal RNA". It matches the Rfam family "Bacterial small subunit ribosomal RNA", at positions 118 to 347 of the family's 1533-position model. The record is from RNAcentral.
UGAGUAACCUGUCCUUCACUCUGGGAUAACUCCGGGAAACCGGGGCUAAUACUGGAUAUGACUCGAACAGGCAUCUGUUUCGGGUGGAAAGAUUUAUUGGUGGAGGAUGGACUCGCGGCCUAUCAGCUUGUUGGUGAGGUAAUGGCUCACCAAGGCGACGACGGGUAGCCGGCCUGAGAGGGCGAUCGGCCACACUGGGACUGAGACACGGCCCAGACUCCGUACGGGAGCA